This 546-nucleotide ribosomal RNA is filed under the name uncultured bacterium. RNAcentral describes it as "bacterial SSU rRNA". It matches the Rfam family "Bacterial small subunit ribosomal RNA", at positions 367 to 909 of the family's 1533-position model. The record is from RNAcentral.
CACAAUGGGCGCAAGCCUGAUGCAGCCAUGCCGCGUGUGUGAAGAAGGCCCUAGGGUUGUAAAGCACUUUCAGCGAGGAGGAAAGGUUAUAGUUUAAUAGACUAUAGCUGUGACGUUACUCGCAGAAGAAGCACCGGCUAACUUCGUGCCAGCAGCCGCGGUAAUACGAGGGGUGCAAGCGUUAAUCGGAAUUACUGGGCGUAAAGCGUACGCAGGCGGUUUGUUAAGCGAGAUGUGAAAGCCCCGGGCUCAACCUGGGAACUGCAUUUCGAACUGGCAGACUAGAGUAUGAUAGAGGGUGGUAGAAUUUCAGGUGUAGCGGUGAAAUGCGUAGAGAUCUGAAGGAAUACCGAUGGCGAAGGCAGCCACCUGGGUCAAUACUGACGCUCAUGUACGAAGCGUGGGGAGCAACGGAUUAGAUACCCGGUAGUCCACGCCGUAAACGCUCUAGACUGAGAUUCGUGACUUUCAAGAUAACUUUUAUAGACGCUAAAGCGCCAAGUAGACCGCCAUGAGAGUAUGAGGCAACUUUAAAACUCACGAUAA